AGAUUGAACGCUGGCGGCAGGCCUAACACAUGCAAGUCGAGCGGCAGCACGGGUACUUGUACCUGGUGGCGAGCGGCGGACGGGUGAGUAAUGCCUAGGAAUCUGCCUGGUAGUGGGGGAUAACGCUCGGAAACGGACGCUAAUACCGCAUACGUCCUACGGGAGAAAGCAGGGGACCUUCGGGCCUUGCGCUAUCAGAUGAGCCUAGGUCGGAUUAGCUAGUUGGUGAGGUAAUGGCUCACCGAAGGCGACGAUCCGUAACUGGUCUGAGAGGAUGAUCAGUCACACGUGGA
Molecule: ribosomal RNA, 293 nt
Filed under: uncultured soil bacterium
Lineage: Bacteria
Description: partial 16S ribosomal RNA
Rfam family: Bacterial small subunit ribosomal RNA
Source: RNAcentral